UAGGGAAUCUUGGACAAUGGGCGCAAGCCUGAUCCAGCCAUGCCGCGUGAGUGAAGAAGGCCUUCGGGUUGUAAAGCUCUUUUACCAGGGACGAUAAUGACGGUACCUGGAGAAUAAGCCCCGGCAAACUUCGUGUCAGCAGCCGCGGUAAUACGAAGGGGGCUAGCGUUGUUCGGAAUUACUGGGCGUAAAGCGCACGUAGGCGGAUUGUUAAGUCAGGGGUGAAAUCCUGGGGCUCAACCCCAGAACUGCCUUUGAUACUGGCUGUCUCGAGGUCGAGAGAGGUUGGUGGAAUUCCUAGUGUAGAGGUGAAAUUCGUAGAUAUUAGGAAGAACACCAGUGGCGAAGGCGGCCAACUGGCUCGAUACUGACGCUGAGGUGCGAAAGCGUGGGGAGCAAACAGGAUUAGAUACCCCUGUAGUCCCUGAGCGGGCUGGCAAGGCGCAU
RNAcentral lists this ribosomal RNA (447 nucleotides) under uncultured bacterium. RNAcentral's name for it is "bacterial SSU rRNA". It matches the Rfam family "Bacterial small subunit ribosomal RNA", at positions 355 to 825 of the family's 1533-position model. The record is from RNAcentral.